GGAUUUCCUUAGUAGCGGCGAGCGAACAGGAAAGAGCCCAGCACUGAAUCCCGCGGCUUCGCCGCUGGGAAAUGUAGUGUUCGGGAGGAUCCGAUUAUCCCGAGACGUCGAACCGCGUCCAAGUCCAUCUUGAAUGGGGCCAAUUACCCGCAGAGGGUGCCAGGCCCGUAGCGACCGGUGCGCGUUUCGGGAGGAUCUCUCCUUAGAGUCGGGUUGCUUGAGAGUGCAACUCUAAGUGGGUGGUAAACUCCAUCUAAGGCUAAAUAUGACCACGAGACCGAUAGCGAACAAGUACCGUGAGGGAAAGUUGAAAAGAACUUUGAAGAGAGAGUUCAAGAGUACGUGAAACCGUUCAGGGGUAAACCUGUGAAACCCAAAAGAUCGAAUGGGGAGAUUCAUCUUCAGCGGCGCUGGCUUCACGGUGGUGCGUGAUGCUCCGAAUGGGCCUCGGCCCAAGGCGUGAGCACGCCAUCGCCGACGAUAGUCCGGCGUCGUCGUCGUGCACUUCUCCCCUAGUAGAACGUCGCGACCCGUUGGGUGUCGGUCUACGGCCCGGGUGGGAGCCUGCUCGUCUUGGCAACUCGCACGAGUCAGACCCCCGGUCGCCCGGCCGGCUGCCCGACGGUACUCGCACGGUAUCGGGCCGCAACCUAUGUGCGUCGGGCCCGCCGCAGGCGCGGUCAGUGCAUCCCGGCAGUACGGCCCUAGCGGACGUCACCGGGCCUGACCCGCUGUUGGCUGGCGGUGUCCUCGGACAGGCCAAGCUUCGAAAUACCGGUCGGCGACGCUAUUGCUUUGGGUACUCUCAGGACCCGUCUUGAAACACGGACCAAGGAGUCUAACAUGUACGCGAGUCAUUGGGAUUAUGAAAACCUAAAGGCGAAAUGAAAGUGAAGGUCGACCUCGGUGUCGACAGAGGGAGGAUGGGCCGCGUUUCGAUUCGGCCUCGCACUCCCGGGGCGUCUCGUUCUCAU
RNAcentral lists this ribosomal RNA (974 nucleotides) under Prionyx subatratus. RNAcentral's name for it is "eukaryotic LSU rRNA". It matches the Rfam family "Eukaryotic large subunit ribosomal RNA", at positions 72 to 780 of the family's 3401-position model. Lineage: Eukaryota; Metazoa; Arthropoda; Insecta; Hymenoptera; Sphecidae. The record is from RNAcentral.